RNAcentral lists this unclassified non-coding RNA (174 nucleotides) under uncultured Phaeomoniella. RNAcentral's name for it is "sequence contains ITS2". Lineage: Eukaryota; Fungi; Ascomycota; Eurotiomycetes; Phaeomoniellales. The record is from RNAcentral.
UCAACCCUCAAGCCUGGCUUGUUAUUGGGUCUUGUAUCAAUUUUCGGAUUGAUAGGCCUGAAAGAUAAUGGCGGUGUCACUAAAUGACUCCUGGUGCAGCGAGCUUUUUAACUAGCAUACACUGGACAGUCUUUAAUGAAACCUCGCCUGAAAAUUCUUUUAUUUUCUUCAAGG